CGGACGGGUGAGUAAUGUCUGGGAAACUGCCUGAUGGAGGGGGAUAACUACUGGAAACGGUAGCUAAUACCGCAUAACGUCGCGAGACCAAAGAGGGGGACCUUAGGGCCUCUUGCCAUCGGAUGUGCCCAGAUGGGAUUAGCUAGUAGGUGGGGUAAAGGCUCACCUAGGCGACGAUCCCUAGCUGGUCUGAGAGGAUGACCAGCCACACUGGAACUGAGACACGGUCCAG
This 232-nucleotide ribosomal RNA is filed under the name uncultured bacterium. RNAcentral's name for it is "partial 16S ribosomal RNA". It matches the Rfam family "Bacterial small subunit ribosomal RNA", at positions 99 to 334 of the family's 1533-position model. The record is from RNAcentral.